AGAUUGCAGGCUGCAACUCGCCUGCAUGAAGUCGGAAUUGCUAGUAAUCGUAGGUCAGCAUACUACGGUGAAUACGUUCCCGGGCCUUGUACACACCGCCCGUCAAACCAUGAGAGUUGGCAACACCCGAAGUCGGUAGUCUAACCGCAAGGAGGACGCCGCCGAAGGUGGGGUCGAUGAUUAGGGUUAAGUCGUAACAAGGUAGC
Molecule: ribosomal RNA, 206 nt
Filed under: uncultured bacterium
Lineage: Bacteria
Description: partial 16S ribosomal RNA
Rfam family: Bacterial small subunit ribosomal RNA
Source: RNAcentral